Molecule: ribosomal RNA, 1714 nt
Filed under: Salmonella enterica subsp. enterica serovar Kentucky
Lineage: Bacteria; Pseudomonadati; Pseudomonadota; Gammaproteobacteria; Enterobacterales; Enterobacteriaceae
Description: partial 23S ribosomal RNA
Rfam family: Bacterial large subunit ribosomal RNA
Source: RNAcentral
GUUUGGUUAAGUUAGAAAGGGCGCACGGUGGAUGCCUUGACACUAGGAGUCGAUGAAGGACGGGACUAACGCCGAUAUGCUUCGGGGAGCUGUAAGUAAGCUUUGAUCCGAAGAUUUCCGAAUGGGGAAACCCACCAUACGUAAUGGUAUGGUAUCCUUAUCUGAAUACAUAGGGUAAGGAAGACAGACCCAGGGAACUGAAACAUCUAAGUACCUGGAGGAAGAGAAAGCAAAUGCGAUUUCCUGAGUAGCGGCGAGCGAAACGGAACAUAGCCCAAACCAAGAGGCUUGCCUCUUGGGGUUGUAGGACAUUCUAUACGGAGUUACAAAGGAACGAGGUAGACGAAGCGACCUGGAAAGGUCCGUCGUAGAGGGUAACAACCCCGUAGUCGAAACUUCGUUCUCUCUUGAAUGUAUCCUGAGUACGGCGGAACACGUGAAAUUCCGUCGGAAUCUGGGAGGACCAUCUCCCAAGGCUAAAUACUCCCUAGUGAUCGAUAGUGAACCAGUACCGUGAGGGAAAGGUGAAAAGCACCCCGGAAGGGGAGUGAAAGAGAUCCUGAAACCGUGUGCCUACAAAUAGUCAGAGCCCGUUAACGGGUGAUGGCGUGCCUUUUGUAGAAUGAACCGGCGAGUUACGAUCCCGUGCGAGGUUAAGCUGAAGAGGCGGAGCCGCAGCGAAAGCGAGUCUGAAUAGGGCGUUUAGUACGUGGUCGUAGACCCGAAACCAGGUGAUCUACCCAUGUCCAGGGUGAAGUUCAGGUAACACUGAAUGGAGGCCCGAACCCACGCACGUUGAAAAGUGCGGGGAUGAGGUGUGGGUAGCGGAGAAAUUCCAAUCGAACCUGGAGAUAGCUGGUUCUCCCCGAAAUAGCUUUAGGGCUAGCCUUAAGUGUAAGAGUCUUGGAGGUAGAGCACUGAUUGGACUAGGGGUCCUCAUCGGAUUACCGAAUUCAGUCAAACUCCGAAUGCCAAUGACUUAUCCUUAGGAGUCAGACUGCGAGUGAUAAGAUCCGUAGUCAAAAGGGAAACAGCCCAGACCGCCAGCUAAGGUCCCAAAGUGUGUAUUAAGUGGAAAAGGAUGUGGAGUUGCUUAGACAACUAGGAUGUUGGCUUAGAAGCAGCCACCAUUUAAAGAGUGCGUAAUAGCUCACUAGUCGAGUGACUCUGCGCCGAAAAUGUACCGGGGCUAAAUACACCACCGAAGCUGCGGAUUGAUACCAAUGGUAUCAGUGGUAGGGGAGCGUUCUAAGGACAGUGAAGUCAGACCGGAAGGACUGGUGGAGUGCUUAGAAGUGAGAAUGCCGGUAUGAGUAGCGAAAGACGGGUGAGAAUCCCGUCCACCGAAUGCCUAAGGUUUCCUGAGGAAGGCUCGUCCGCUCAGGGUUAGUCAGGACCUAAGCCGAGGCCGACAGGCGUAGGCGAUGGACAACAGGUUGAUAUUCCUGUACCACCUCUUUAUCGUUUGAGCAAUGGAGGGACGCAGAAGGAUAGAAGAAGCGUGCGAUUGGUUGUGCACGUCCAAGCAGUUAGGCUGAUAAGUAGGCAAAUCCGCUUAUCGUAAAGGCUGAGCUGUGAUGGGGAAGCUCCUUAUGGAGCGAAGUCUUUGAUUCCCCGCUGCCAAGAAAAGCUUCUAGCGAGAUAAAAGGUGCCUGUACCGCAAACCGACACAGGUAGGCGAGGAGAGAAUCCUAAGGUGUGCGAGAGAACUCUG